GACGAACGCUGGCGGCGUGCUUAACACAUGCAAGUCGAACGCGCCUGUCCUCUGGGUUUCUGGGGGGUGGGUGAGUGGCGAACGGGUGAGUAACACGUGAGUAACCUGCCCCCUUCUUCGGGAUAACGGUCUGAAAGGGCUGCUAAUACCGGGUAUUCACUGGUCUCCGCAUGGGGUCUGGUGGAAAGGUUUUUUUCUGGUGGGGGAUGGGCUCGCGGCCUAUCAGCUUGUUGGUGGGGUGAUGGCCCACCAAGGCUUUGACGGGUAGCCGGCCUGAGAGGGUGACCGGUCACAUUGGGACUGAGAUACGGCCCAGACUCCUACGGGAGGCAGCAGUGGGGAAUAUUGCACAAUGGGCGCAAGCCUGAUGCAGCGACGCCGCGUGAGGGAUGGAGGCCGUCGGGUUGUGAACCUCUUUCGCCCGUGGUCAAGCCGCGACGUGGGUCGUGGUGAGGGUAGUGGGUAAAGAAGCGCCGGCUAACUACGUG
This 488-nucleotide ribosomal RNA is filed under the name uncultured bacterium. RNAcentral describes it as "partial 16S ribosomal RNA". It matches the Rfam family "Bacterial small subunit ribosomal RNA", at positions 28 to 507 of the family's 1533-position model. The record is from RNAcentral.